RNAcentral lists this ribosomal RNA (253 nucleotides) under uncultured bacterium. RNAcentral describes it as "partial 16S ribosomal RNA". It matches the Rfam family "Bacterial small subunit ribosomal RNA", at positions 524 to 776 of the family's 1533-position model. The record is from RNAcentral.
UACGAAGGGGGCUAGCGUUGCUCGGAAUCACUGGGCGUAAAGCGCACGUAGGCGGCUUUCUAAGUCAGGGGUGAAAUCCUGGAGCUCAACUCCAGAACUGCCUUUGAUACUGGAGAGCUUGAGGCCGGAAGAGGUGAGUGGAACUCCGAGUGUAGAGGUGAAAUUCGUAGAUAUUCGGAAGAACACCAGUGGCGAAGGCGGCUCACUGGUCCGGUACUGACGCUGAUGUGCGAAAGCGUGGGGAGCAAACAGG